AGAUAAGGCGAAUACGGCCAGUUACAGAAAAAGGAAAAUGCCAAGUUCAGCUUGGGAUAGAAUGUAUAGCUAAUUUGUAAAAGUAUGGUUGAAGAAUAGUAUUGUUAUGUGUUAGAUAGCUGAUGAUUUGUGUUUAAGUAAAGGUUACUCGACCUUGGGGAAUAGUGUGUAAUGUAAUGUAUAAACAAUUUAUGUUUAUAUCUUCCGCAAAUAGUUGUAGAAAUAGCGAACCGGAUCCGCGGCGAUUCGGGACCCGGAUUCGGGGCUGCCACAUAUACUUUGAGUGUAGCUAAUAGUGAAUGAUUUUCUCAAGAAUAUCUCCACUAUACCAGUCAGAUUUACUCUCCUACUAAGGUAAAGGAUAUUAUUUUCUUUCAAUACUUGUAAGGGAUAUUAUUUUCAUUCAAUAAUCG
This 413-nucleotide long non-coding RNA is filed under the name Panax ginseng (ginseng). RNAcentral describes it as "long non-coding RNA (PGIN_LNC011381)". Lineage: Eukaryota; Viridiplantae; Streptophyta; Magnoliopsida; Apiales; Araliaceae. The record is from RNAcentral.